CCUANGGGAGGCUGCAGCUAAGAAUAUUCCGCAAUGGGCGAAAGCCUGACGGAGCAAUCCCGCGUGAGUGAUGAAGGCCCUUUGGGUUGUAAAGCUCUUUCGGCAGGGACGAAUAAGAUCAGCAGGAAAUGGCUGAUUGAUGACUGUACCUGAAGAAGAAGCACCGACUAAUUACGUGCCAGCAGUCGCGGUAAUACGUAGGGUGCGAACGUUGCUCGGAAUUACUGGGCGUAAAGGGUGCGCAGGCGGCUUUGUAAGUUAGUGGUGAAAUCCUGAGGCUCAACCUCAGGCCUGCCAUUAAGACUGCAGAGCUAGAGUCGUAAUAGAGGUAGCGGGAAUUCCAUGUGUAGGAGUGAAAUCUGUAGAUAUAUGGAGGAACACCAAUGGCGAAGGCAAGCUACUGGGUAACGACUGACGCUCAGGCACGAAAGCUAGGGGAGCAAAUGGGAUUAGAUACCCGUNUANUC
Molecule: ribosomal RNA, 467 nt
Filed under: uncultured bacterium
Lineage: Bacteria
Description: bacterial SSU rRNA
Rfam family: Bacterial small subunit ribosomal RNA
Source: RNAcentral